RNAcentral lists this ribosomal RNA (460 nucleotides) under uncultured bacterium. RNAcentral's name for it is "partial 16S ribosomal RNA". It matches the Rfam family "Bacterial small subunit ribosomal RNA", at positions 338 to 795 of the family's 1533-position model. The record is from RNAcentral.
CCUACGGGAGGCAGCAGUGAGGAAUAUUGGUCAAUGGACGAGAGUCUGAACCAGCCAAGUAGCGUGAAGGAUGACUGCCCUAUGGGUUGUAAACUUCUUUUAUAUGGGAAUAAAAUGUUCCACGUGUGGGCUUUUGUAUGUACCAUAUGAAUAAGGAUCGGCUAACUCCGUGCCAGCAGCCGCGGUAAUACGGAGGAUCCGUGCGUUAUCCGGAUUUAUUGGGUUUAAAGGGAGCGUAGUGGGAUUGUUAAUGCAGUUGUGAAAGUUUGCGGCUUAACCGUAAAAUUGCAGUUGAAACUGGCAGUCUUGAGUACAGUAGAGGUGGGCGGAAUUCGUGGUGUAGCGGUGAAAUGCUUAGAUAUCACGAAGAACUCCGAUUGCGAAGGCAGCUCACUGGACUGCAACUGACACUGAGGCUCGAAAGUGUGGGUAUCAAACAGGAUUAGAUACCCCUGUAGUC